This 420-nucleotide ribosomal RNA is filed under the name uncultured bacterium. Its description in RNAcentral is "bacterial SSU rRNA". It matches the Rfam family "Bacterial small subunit ribosomal RNA", at positions 361 to 773 of the family's 1533-position model. The record is from RNAcentral.
AUAUUGCACAAUGGGCGCAAGCCUGAUCCAGCCAUGCCGCGUGUGUGAAGAAGGUCUUCGGAUUGUAAAGCACUUUAAGUUGGGAGGAAGGGCAUUAACCUAAUACGUUAGUGCUUUGACGUUACCGACAGAAUAAGCACCGGCUAACUCUGUGCCAGCAGCCGCGGUAAUACAGAGGGUGCAAGCGUUAAUCGGAAUUACUGGGCGUAAAGCGCGCGUAGGUGGUUCGUUAAGUUGACUGUGAAAGCCCCGGGCUCAACCUGGGAACUGCAUCCAAAACUGGCGAGCUAGAGUAGGGCAGAGGGUGGUGGAAUUUCCUGUGUAGCGGUGAAAUGCGUAGAUAUAGGAAGGAACACCAGUGGCGAAGGCGACCACCUGGGCUCAUACUGACACUGAGGUGCGAAAGCGUGGGGAGCAAAC